Molecule: long non-coding RNA, 622 nt
Organism: Gopherus evgoodei (Goodes thornscrub tortoise)
Lineage: Eukaryota; Metazoa; Chordata; Testudines; Testudinidae
Exons: 3
Source: RefSeq, a predicted model, not a curated record
GCAGGGUAGGGGCAGUUUCUAGAAUGGCUGUUAUUACCUGGGUUCACUACAUCACAUAUAGCCCCUCAUCAGUGGACUGGGUAUUAUUGAGAGCAGAAUUUUACUAAAAAUGGCCUAAGAAUAUUCCCCCAUUUGUACUCCAUUAAAUCUCUUAACUCAUGAAGUCAGCAGCACUGAAGGGCAGUGAGAUAACAGCUUUCCUUUCAGAAGAACUGGAUUGAAAGUACGGGAUGGCUGCCAAGUCAACUCUUCCAAGAAUAAUCCCUGGCUGUGAAUUGCAGGAAUAGAACCGGUGUGAUUUGUAAACAAGCUAAGGAAGUAAAAGAUCUGCCAAUCUAGAAGAUGUCAGCUACACUAAGUUGAACACAAGCAAGCAGCAGUGCUGGAGCCUGCUUGUUUGCAGUUAAAAGAGUUUGGGUUUCCGGUGGGGGCUUCCCUCUCUCCCAGGAUAUUCCAUAUUCUUACAAGCUCAAGAGAGGUAGGACUUCACCCAGGAAUCACUGUAACACACAUCUAUCCUAACAUGAACAGAACCCCUGUGUCAUUGCAAAGAAGCAAGCAGUGGGAAAUUACAUAAACCCCAGAUGCCUCAAAGGAAUUCUGUCUCCUCCUCUGCCCCUCC